AUUGCCUUGGUGUCCUCAGAAGGAGGGGCUGCAAAAAUAAAUAUUCAGCGAAUAAAGAACAUGUUGCUAGAGGAUGAUUCUGUGGAAAUGAGAAGAGAGGUUGCUAUUUGUGCCAUCAUUGUGUUCCUAAAAGAAAAGGAGGAAGACCUCUUCAAAGAGGAUGAUGGGGACAUUACCAACGACCUGAUGAAGAUGUGCCUUGCUAAUGGGGCUGAUCUACUCGCUCAACCUAAGCUAUCCAAGGGAGUUGAGGCAUACUUUUGAGGUAUUUCAAAAGAUAUUCCUUGAGCUGGAUGGUCUGAAAGCUAGCCCAAGGGUAAUGUCUCUAAAAAAUAGGCUGCUGUGCUAAAGAUGUGAAGAAUUAAGCUGCUGUUAUUGAGUUCCUCAGAAAAUGUAUCAAUGAUAUGGCAAGUUUUUUUGCUCAUACAGAAGUCUUGCACUGUUGGCAUGCAAUUUGAUAUGUUUUAAUCCAAUUCUGUAUUUUUUUUUUUGUAUUAUUAUUUUAUUUUUUUAAG
This is a long non-coding RNA of Alosa alosa (allis shad), 515 nucleotides long. RefSeq lists it as uncharacterized. The transcript is spliced from 3 exons. Lineage: Eukaryota; Metazoa; Chordata; Actinopteri; Clupeiformes; Clupeidae. The record is from RefSeq and is a predicted model, not a curated record.